Molecule: transfer RNA, 85 nt
Filed under: bacterium
Lineage: Bacteria
Description: tRNA-Leu
Rfam family: tRNA
About the family: Transfer RNA (tRNA) molecules are approximately 80 nucleotides in length. Their secondary structure includes four short double-helical elements and three loops (D, anti-codon, and T loops).
Source: RNAcentral
GCUCCCGUGGCGGAACUUGGUAUACGCGUGGCGUUUAGAACGCUAUUCUCUAUUGAGAUUGCAGGUUCAAAUCCUGCCGGGAGCA